This 301-nucleotide ribosomal RNA is filed under the name uncultured bacterium. RNAcentral describes it as "partial 16S ribosomal RNA". It matches the Rfam family "Bacterial small subunit ribosomal RNA", at positions 509 to 809 of the family's 1533-position model. The record is from RNAcentral.
CAGCCGCCACGGGAAUACGUAGGGUGCAAGCGUUAAUCGGAAUUACUGAGCGUAAAGGGUGCGUAGGCGGUUUGGCAAGUCUUAUGUGAAAUCUCUGGGCUCAACCCAGAGUCUGCAUGAGAAACUGCCGGGCUUGAGUAUGGGAGAGGUGAGUGGAAUUUCCGGUGUAGCGGUGAAAUGCGUAGAUAUCGGAAGGAACAUCUGUGGCGAAGGCGACUAUCUGGGCCAACACUGACACUGAGGCACGAAAGCGUGGGGAGCAAACAGGAUUAGAUACCCCUGUAGUCCCUGUCUCUUAUAA